Molecule: ribosomal RNA, 400 nt
Filed under: uncultured bacterium
Lineage: Bacteria
Description: bacterial SSU rRNA
Rfam family: Bacterial small subunit ribosomal RNA
Source: RNAcentral
CCUACGGGUGGCUGCAGUGGGGAAUAUUGCACAAUGGGCGCAAGCCUGAUGCAGCAACGCCGCGUGAGGGACGAAGGCCUUCGGGUUGUAAACCUCUUUUAGCAGGGAAGAAGCGAGAGUGACGGUACCUGCAGAAAAAGCACCGGCUAACUACGUGCCAGCAGCCGCGGUAAUACGUAGGGUGCGAGCGUUAUCCGGAAUUAUUGGGCGUAAAGAGCUCGUAGGCGGUCUGUCGCGUCUGCUGUGAAAUCCCGAGGCUCAACCUCGGGCUUGCAGUGGGUACGGGCAGACUAGAGUGCGGUAGGGGAGAUUGGAAUUCCUGGUGUAGCGGUGGAAUGCGCAGAUAUCAGGAGGAACACCGAUGGCGAAGGCAGAUCUCUGGGCCGUUACUGACGCUGAG